UACGUAGGGGGCUAGCGUUAUCCGGAAUUACUGGGCGUAAAGGGUGCGUAGGCGGCUUUCUAAUCGGAUGUGAAAACUCUGGGCUCAACCCAGAGCCUGCAUCCGAAACUGGAGAGCUAGGGUUCUGGAGGGGAAAGCGGAAUUCCUGGUGUAGCGGUGAAAUGCGUAGAUAUCAGGAGGAACACCGGUGGCGAAGGCGGCUUUCUGGACAGAUACCGACGCUGAGGCACGAAAGCGUGGGGAGCAAACAGG
This 252-nucleotide ribosomal RNA is filed under the name uncultured bacterium. RNAcentral describes it as "partial 16S ribosomal RNA". It matches the Rfam family "Bacterial small subunit ribosomal RNA", at positions 524 to 776 of the family's 1533-position model. The record is from RNAcentral.